CACUGACCCUUUACCUUGCUUCCUUGAGCUUCUGGCAAAGAUAAGUGUAUAUAAAAAAUACCCCAAUCUGUCUCAGUGGAGAUAUCUUUGCCAGAAGCUCAAGGAAGCAUGGUAAAAGGUCAGUGU
Molecule: microRNA precursor, 126 nt
Filed under: Pelobates cultripes (western spadefoot toad)
Lineage: Eukaryota; Metazoa; Chordata; Amphibia; Anura; Pelobatidae
Source: RNAcentral